Molecule: non-coding RNA, 84 nt
Organism: Myotis brandtii (Brandt's bat)
Lineage: Eukaryota; Metazoa; Chordata; Mammalia; Chiroptera; Vespertilionidae
Source: Rfam
GGCAGUUCUCGGGGUGACGCACCCUGGAAUCCUGGAAUCAGGCUUCCUCUUCUCUGGUUCCGGGUGAGUCACCUGAGAACCGCA